UACGGAGGGGGCUAGCGUUAUUCGGAAUUAUUGGGCGUAAAGGGCGCGUAGGCGGCUCGAUGUGUCCCAGGUGAAAUCCCUCGGCUCAACUGAGGAACUGCCUUGGAAACUGUCGAGCUUGAGGCCGGGAGGGGGUAGCGGAAUUCCCGGUGUAGCGGUGGAAUGCGUAGAGAUCGGGAAGAACAUCGGUGGCGAAGGCGGCCAGCUGGGCCAUUGCUGACGCUGAUGCGCGACAGCGUGGGGAGCAAACAGG
RNAcentral lists this ribosomal RNA (253 nucleotides) under uncultured bacterium. RNAcentral describes it as "partial 16S ribosomal RNA". It matches the Rfam family "Bacterial small subunit ribosomal RNA", at positions 524 to 776 of the family's 1533-position model. The record is from RNAcentral.